UGUCAAGCAGCUACAUAGCACUGCUCACUUGCUUAACUGGGCAAAAUACCUGCUGUGGCAGCCCUCUGCCUUGACUGCCUCCGGGAGAAAGUUUCUUGGGAAUGGUGUGACUCAUUGCACAGCCAGAGGUUAUAAUGAAGUAUCCCACUCAUCCUUUAGCUCACCCUUUGUUCAAGACAAUGCAGAUUGCAGGAGGUUUCUGAGGAGGAGAAUCUGGGAUAAGUUGCUGGGAAGAAGGAAGAAGGAGAACAGUUCUAUUGGAAAGAAUGUCUUGAUGCUGAUAUGAAAAUGAUGUGGAAGUCAUGGGCUGAAUUAAAUAUUUUUCCAUGGUGGAAAAUUGAUGGGAAAGCUUCC
This 354-nucleotide long non-coding RNA is filed under the name Serinus canaria (Common canary). Its description in RNAcentral is "lncRNA (ENSSCAG00000014906.1)". Lineage: Eukaryota; Metazoa; Chordata; Aves; Passeriformes; Fringillidae. The record is from RNAcentral.